Molecule: ribosomal RNA, 254 nt
Filed under: uncultured bacterium
Lineage: Bacteria
Description: partial 16S ribosomal RNA
Rfam family: Bacterial small subunit ribosomal RNA
Source: RNAcentral
CACGUAGGGGGCGAGCGUUGUCCGGAAUCAUUGGGCGUAAAGAGCUCGUAGGCGGCUCAGUAAGUCGGGUGUGAAACCCCCAGGCUCAACCUGGGGACGCCACUCGAUACUGCUGUGGCUAGAGGCCAGUAGAGGAGUGUGGAAUUCCCGGUGUAGCGGUGAAAUGCGCAGAUAUCGGGAGGAGCACCAACGGCGAAGGCAGCACUCUGGGCUGGAACUGACGCUGAGGAGCGAAAGCCUGGGGAGCAAACAGG